This 253-nucleotide ribosomal RNA is filed under the name uncultured bacterium. RNAcentral describes it as "partial 16S ribosomal RNA". It matches the Rfam family "Bacterial small subunit ribosomal RNA", at positions 524 to 776 of the family's 1533-position model. The record is from RNAcentral.
UACAGAGGGUGCAAGCGUUAAUCGGAUUUACUGGGCGUAAAGCGUGUGUAGGUGGCCUCCUAAGUCGGUUGUGAAAUCCCUCAGCUUAACUGGGGAACUGCGUCUGAUACUGGCGAGCUUGAGUGCAGGAGAGGAACGCGGAAUUCCAGGUGUAGCGGUGAAAUGCGUAGAUAUCUGGAGGAAUACCGAUGGCGAAGGCAGCCCCCUGGGAUAACACUGACGCUCAUGCACGAAAGCGUGGGGAGCAAACAGG